GAUGAACGCUGGCGGCGUGCCUAAUACAUGCAAGUCGAGCGAACAGACGAGGAGCUUGCUCCUCUGACGUUAGCGGCGGACGGGUGAGUAACACGUGGAUAACCUACCUAUAAGACUGGGAUAACUUCGGGAAACCGGAGCUAAUACCGGAUAAUAUAUUGAACCGCAUGGUUCAAUAGUGAAAGACGGUUUUGCUGUCACUUAUAGAUGGAUCCGCGCCGCAUUAGCUAGUUGGUAAGGUAACGGCUUACCAAGGCAACGAUGCGUAGCCGACCUGAGAGGGUGAUCGGCCACACUGGAACUGAGACACGGUCCAGGCUCCUACGGGAGGCAGCAGUAGGGAAUCUUCCGCAAUAGGCGAAAGCUUGACGGAGCAACGCCGCGUGAGUGAUGAAGGUCUUCGGAUCGUAAAACUCUGUUAUUAGGGAAGAACAAAUGUGUAAGUAACUAUGCACGUCUUGACGGUACCUAAUCAGAAAGCCACAGCUAACUACGUG
RNAcentral lists this ribosomal RNA (497 nucleotides) under uncultured bacterium. RNAcentral's name for it is "partial 16S ribosomal RNA". It matches the Rfam family "Bacterial small subunit ribosomal RNA", at positions 28 to 507 of the family's 1533-position model. The record is from RNAcentral.